Molecule: transfer RNA, 73 nt
Filed under: Planctomycetota bacterium
Lineage: Bacteria; Pseudomonadati; Planctomycetota
Description: tRNA-Met
Rfam family: tRNA
About the family: Transfer RNA (tRNA) molecules are approximately 80 nucleotides in length. Their secondary structure includes four short double-helical elements and three loops (D, anti-codon, and T loops). Further hydrogen bonds mediate the characteristic L-shaped molecular structure. tRNAs have two regions of fundamental functional importance: the anti-codon, which is responsible for specific mRNA codon recognition, and the 3' end, to which the tRNAs corresponding amino acid is attached (by aminoacyl-tRNA synthetases). tRNAs cope with the degeneracy of the genetic code in two manners: having more than one tRNA (with a specific anti-codon) for a particular amino acid; and 'wobble' base-pairing, i.e. permitting non-standard base-pairing at the 3rd anti-codon position.
Source: RNAcentral
UGCGCCGUGGAGCAGUGGUUAGCUCGCCAGGCUCAUAACCUGGAGGUCGUAGGUUCGAUCCCUGCCGGCGUAA